RNAcentral lists this non-coding RNA (25 nucleotides) under Mus musculus (house mouse). The record is from RNAcentral. Lineage: Eukaryota; Metazoa; Chordata; Mammalia; Rodentia; Muridae.
AUGUUGGAUAUUAGUCCCCUAUCAG